GGACUACCCGGGUUUCUAAUCCUGUUUGAUCCCCUUGCUUUCGCGCUUCAGCGUCAGGAAUAAGCUAGAAAACCGCCUUCGCCACCGGUGUUCUUCCACAUAUCUACGCAUUUCACCGCUACUUGUGGAAUUCCGUUUUCUCCGCCUACCCUCUAGAUAAUGCAGUUUCAAAUGCAGUCCUUAGGUUGAGCCCAAGAAUUUCACAUCUGACUUACAUAUCCGCCUACGCGCCCUUUACGCCCAAUAAAUCCGAUUAAUGCUUGCACCCUCCGUAUUACCGCGGCUGCUGGCAC
This 293-nucleotide ribosomal RNA is filed under the name uncultured bacterium. RNAcentral's name for it is "partial 16S ribosomal RNA". The record is from RNAcentral.